GGGGCUGUGGCUCCGUUGUUGAGCACCUGCUUGGCAUGCAGAAGGUCUCAGGUUCAAUCCUGAGCAUCUCUG
RNAcentral lists this transfer RNA (72 nucleotides) under Sphaerodactylus townsendi. Its description in RNAcentral is "tRNA-Ala". It matches the Rfam family "tRNA". Rfam says of the family: Transfer RNA (tRNA) molecules are approximately 80 nucleotides in length. Their secondary structure includes four short double-helical elements and three loops (D, anti-codon, and T loops). The record is from RNAcentral. Lineage: Eukaryota; Metazoa; Chordata; Lepidosauria; Squamata; Sphaerodactylidae.